This is a long non-coding RNA of Lagopus muta (rock ptarmigan), 1481 nucleotides long. RefSeq lists it as uncharacterized. The transcript has 3 exons. NCBI's taxonomy places the organism in Eukaryota, Metazoa, Chordata, Aves, Galliformes, Phasianidae. The record is from RefSeq and is a predicted model, not a curated record.
CUGAGGGCUGGCUAGCAGGGUGAUUUAUCAGUGUUGCCUCUGUCCUGGGCACCAAACCAUAGAGCUGAGCUCUGUAACAGUGCUAACAGCCCCUAGUGCUGUGAUAUCAGGGCCUGCUGACAGCAUCCAGAGGAUAGAGCAGGAGUUAAUGCCUCCUGUUGUGCCUGGGCAGCAGUCAGUGAGCCAGGAGAGCAGAAAGCAGCUCUGGGGGCAGGGACACCUGUCCAAGCUGGGAAUGCCCUGCAUGGGCUGUGCCUUGCUGCCUUGCCCCUGUCCCUUGCAGAGCUGCUGCCAUGAGCACAGAAGGCUGAGCUGAAACUUCAGAGCGCUGAGUGUGGAAGAGGCACCUUUAAAGGCAGUUACCGAUCUAUGUUUUUGCCCUCUGUGGCUGCUGGAGACAAGUGACCCUUGGGUGAGGAACCAUCCCCAUGGCUGAGCACUGCUGGCUCUACAGGGCACAGAGCAAAAACCUGCCCCCAAAGCAUUGAUCACUGCAGACUCUAAUUAAGGCACACUUCUCACUGUGGCUGCGUGGGGCUCUGUGUGUAUUUGAGCAGUGCACUGACAGCUCUGGGUGUUAUCUCCUGCUUUGCUUUGUCCCACAGAUUAUCCUCUGUGCUGUAGGUGGGGAUGAGACCACAGUCACACUGAUGAGAAGCUUGUGUGGCGUGUGGCCUCUUCCUGGAGGGAAAGGAGGAAAACCAAUUUAGAAACCUUAAGAAUGAAGUCUCAAGUGAAGUAUUUACUUUAACACUACUCCUUAUCCCUGUUCCUCUUAGGCAAAGAGCUUUUACAGCCCUGUUUGGCUGCCGUCUGGAUGGCAGUAAGGACAGCAAUAACUGUCUUUUGAGGGGCAGAAGGGAAAAAAAUGAGUCAAUAUAUGCUACAGAAACUGCUGCUGUUCUUCUUGGGGCCCGAUGCCAUUUCCUGAGGCUGAAGACCAGAACCUGUGCAGCACUGGGGCAGCUGCUAGCCCUGCUGUGCCUUCACUGCCCUGCAGAUCCCACACAGCGCAGCAUGCUGCUGCCUGCCCUGUCUCAACCCUGUGCUUGCUGGCACUAUGUUAAAGAAUUCUAUUAUCCCCUUUGCAGAGGUUUUCCUUCUCCAAAUGCUCUGGCUUGCUCUCUGCUCCCUUGCACUGCUGUCCCACAAUUAACAGCUGUUUCCCUCCACUUGCAGACCAAUGCUUUCAUUGCCAGCUCCUGGUAUGCUGGAGGUAUCUGCAGUUCUCCCAGUGAUGCCUUCUCCUAUUUCCAAUUUUUGCUUCCUAUUUUUAUUUCCUUUUAUCUCAAAUCCUUUCUUUCCCACCCAGAAAUGAUCCCGCCAGAGGGCGAUUCCGUCGGUAAUAUUGCUUUUGCAUUUUAGACUUUUCAAGGACUAAUGAACUUUAUUAGAUUAUAAUGAACUUAUUACUCAGCGCUGCUGACCUGCUUUCUAAAGAACUUGAAUUAUUAUUUGGAACAGGCCUGUUGAGGGACUGC